GGUUAAGCGACUAAGCGUACACGGUGGAUGCCCUGGCAGUCAGAGGCGAUGAAGGACGUGCUAAUCUGCGAUAAGCGCCGGUAAGGUGAUAUGAACCGUUAUAACCGGCGAUUUCCGAAUGGGGAAACCCAGUGUGAUUCGUCACACUAUCAUUAACUGAAUCCAUAGGUUAAUGAGGCGAACCGGGGGAACUGAAACAUCUAAGUACCCCGAGGAAAAGAAAUCAACCGAGAUUCCCCCAGUAGCGGCGAGCGAACGGGGAGGAGCCCAGAGCCUGAAUCAGCAUGUGUGUUAGUGGAAGCGUCUGGAAAGGUGCGCGAUACAGGGUGACAGCCCCGUACACAAAAGCGCAUGUGCUGUGAGCUCGAUGAGUAGGGCGGGACACGUGGUAUCCUGUCUGAAUAUGGGGGGACCAUCCUCCAAGGCUAAAUACUCCUGACUGACCGAUAGUGAACCAGUACCGUGAGGGAAAGGCGAAAAGAACCCCGGCGAGGGGAGUGAAAAAGAACCUGAAACCGUGUACGUACAAGCAGUGGGAGCACAGGUUUACCUGUGUGACUGCGUACCUUUUGUAUAAUGGGUCAGCGACUUAUAUUCUGUAGCAAGGUUAACCGUAUAGGGGAGCCG
RNAcentral lists this ribosomal RNA (627 nucleotides) under Salmonella enterica. RNAcentral describes it as "partial 23S ribosomal RNA". It matches the Rfam family "Bacterial large subunit ribosomal RNA", at positions 1 to 668 of the family's 2925-position model. Lineage: Bacteria; Pseudomonadati; Pseudomonadota; Gammaproteobacteria; Enterobacterales; Enterobacteriaceae. RNAcentral also lists the same sequence under 2 other names. The record is from RNAcentral.